AUACGUAGGGUGCAAGCGUUAAUCGGAAUUACUGGGCGUAAAGCGUGCGCAGGCGGUUUUGUAAGACAGAGGUGAAAUCCCCGGGCUCAACCUGGGAACUGCCUUUGUGACUGCAAGGCUAGAGUACGGCAGAGGGGGAUGGAAUUCCGCGUGUAGCAGUGAAAUGCGUAGAUAUGCGGAGGAACACCGAUUGCCAAGGCAAUCCCCUGGGCCUGUAGUGACUCUCAUGCACGAAAGCGUGGGGAGCAAACAGGGUUAGAUACCCUGGUAGUCGCCUCCCUAACAGAUUUCAACUGGUGGUUGGGUCUUCAGUGACUCAGUAACGAAGCUAACGCGUGAAGUUGGCCGCCUGGGGAGUACGGCCGCAAGGUUGAAACUCAAAUUAAUUGACGGGG
RNAcentral lists this ribosomal RNA (395 nucleotides) under uncultured bacterium. RNAcentral's name for it is "partial 16S ribosomal RNA". It matches the Rfam family "Bacterial small subunit ribosomal RNA", at positions 523 to 918 of the family's 1533-position model. The record is from RNAcentral.